UUCCGGUUGAUCCUGCCGGACCUGACUGCUAUCGGAUUGAUACUAAGCCAUGCGAGUCUUUGCAGUAAUGCAAGGCAUACGGCUCAGUAACACGUAGCCAACUUACCCUAUGGACGAGGAUAAUCUCGGGAAACUGAGCAUAAUACUCGAUAGAUCAUAAUGCCUGGAAUGGUUUAUGGUUGAAAUGAUUCGUCGCCAUAGGAUGGGACUGCGGCCUAUCAGCUUGUUGGUGAGGUAAUGGCCCACCAAGGCGAUUACAGGUACGGGCUCUGAGAGGAGAAGCCCGGAGAUGGGUACUGAGACAAGGACCCAGGCCCUAUGGGGCGCAGCAGGCGAGAAAACUUUGCAAUGUGCGAAAGCACGACAAGGUUAAUCCGAGUGAUUUCUGCUAAAGAAAUCUUUUGCAAGUCAUAAAACCACUAGUGAAUAAGGGGUGGGCAAGUUCUGGUGUCAGCCGCCGCGGUAAAACCAGCACCUCAAGUGGUCAGGAGGAUUAUUGGGCCUAAAGCAUCCGUAGCCGGCUCUGUAAGUUUUCGGUUAAAUCCAUGUGCUCAACGCAUGGGCUGCCGAAAAUACUGCAUAGCUAGGGAGUGGGAGAGGUAGACGGUACUCGGUAGGAAGGGGUAAAAUCCUUUGAUCUAUCGAUGACCACCUGUGGCGAAGGCGGUCUACCAGAACACGUUCGACGGUGAGGGAUGAAAGCUGGGGGAGCAAACCGGAUUAGAUACCCGGGUAGUCCCAGCUGUAAACGAUGCAGACUCGAUGAUGCAUUGGCAUAUAGCCAGUGCAGUGUCGCAGGGAAGCCGUUAAGUCUGCCGCCUGGGAAGUACGUACGCAAGUAUGAAACUUAAAGGAAUUGGCGGGGGAGCACCACAAGGGGUGAAGCCUGCGGUUCAAUUGGAAUCAACGCCGGA
This 914-nucleotide ribosomal RNA is filed under the name uncultured archaeon. RNAcentral describes it as "bacterial SSU rRNA". It matches the Rfam family "Archaeal small subunit ribosomal RNA", at positions 1 to 922 of the family's 1478-position model. The record is from RNAcentral.